CAGGCUGCUUUGAGUUGGGGCAACUAUGGAGCAAAACAAAACCUCCACGAACUAGGACUUCCACCCCCAUUACAGGCCCACAAGCCAAAAAUACUAACAUUUUUGACCCAGUAAUACUGACCAUCGAACCAAGUUACCCCGGGGAUAACAGCGCUAUCCCCUCCAAGAGUCCACAUCACCGAGGGGGUUUACGACCUCGAUGUUGGAUCAGGGCCCCCAGGCGGUGCAGCCGCUGCCAAAGGUUCGUUUGUUCAACGACUAACGCCCUACGUGAUCUGAGUUCAGACCG
This 289-nucleotide ribosomal RNA is filed under the name Paroedura gracilis. RNAcentral describes it as "partial 16S ribosomal RNA". The stretch from base 144 to 289 matches the Rfam family "Bacterial large subunit ribosomal RNA", at positions 2473 to 2618 of the family's 2925-position model. Lineage: Eukaryota; Metazoa; Chordata; Lepidosauria; Squamata; Gekkonidae. The record is from RNAcentral.